AUACUUACCUGGACGGGGUCGAUGGGUGAUCAAGAAGACCCAUGGCCUAAGGUAGGGGCCCUCAUUGCACUUGGAGGGAGCCCUGGCUUACCAUCUCCCCAAGUGGGAGAGUGGACGUCAUAAUUUGUGGCAGUGGGGGGACUCGCGUCCGCGCGGCCCCCUU
This is a small nuclear RNA of Phoenix dactylifera (date palm), 163 nucleotides long. RefSeq annotates it as U1 spliceosomal RNA. NCBI's taxonomy places the organism in Eukaryota, Viridiplantae, Streptophyta, Magnoliopsida, Arecales, Arecaceae. The record is from RefSeq and is a predicted model, not a curated record.